CCUACGGGAGGCAGCAGUGGGGAAUAUUGGACAAUGGGCGAAAGCCUGAUCCAGCCAUGCCGCGUGUGUGAAGAAGGCCUUCGGGUUGUAAAGCACUUUCAGUGGGGAAGAAAGCCUUGGGGCUAAUACCCUCGAGGAAGGACAUCACCCACAGAAGAAGCACCGGCUAACUCCGUGCCAGCAGCCGCGGUAAUACGGAGGGUGCGAGCGUUAAUCGGAAUUACUGGGCGUAAAGCGCGCGUAGGCGGUCUGAUAAGCCGGUUGUGAAAGCCCCGGGCUCAACCUGGGAACGGCAUCCGGAACUGUCAGGCUAGAGGGCAGGAGAGGAAGGUAGAAUUCCCGGUGUAGCGGUGAAAUGCGUAGAGAUCGGGAGGAAUACCAGUGGCGAAGGCGGCCUUCUGGACUGACACUGACGCUGAGGUGCGAAAGCGCGGGUAGCAAACAGGAUUAGAUACCCCAGUAGUC
Molecule: ribosomal RNA, 465 nt
Filed under: Vreelandella stevensii
Lineage: Bacteria; Pseudomonadati; Pseudomonadota; Gammaproteobacteria; Oceanospirillales; Halomonadaceae
Description: partial 16S ribosomal RNA
Rfam family: Bacterial small subunit ribosomal RNA
Source: RNAcentral